Molecule: ribosomal RNA, 253 nt
Filed under: uncultured bacterium
Lineage: Bacteria
Description: partial 16S ribosomal RNA
Rfam family: Bacterial small subunit ribosomal RNA
Source: RNAcentral
UACGUAGGGUGCAAGCGUUAAUCGGAAUUACUGGGCGUAAAGCGUGCGCAGGCGGUUGGGUAAGACAGAUGUGAAAUCCCCGGGCUCAACCUGGGAACUGCAUUUGUGACUGCACAGCUGGAGUGCGGCAGAGGGGGAUGGAAUUCCGCGUGUAGCAGUGAAAUGCGUAGAUAUGCGGAGGAACACCGAUGGCGAAGGCAAUCCCCUGGGCCUGCACUGACGCUCAUGCACGAAAGCAUGGGGAGCGAACAGG